RNAcentral lists this ribosomal RNA (253 nucleotides) under uncultured bacterium. RNAcentral describes it as "partial 16S ribosomal RNA". It matches the Rfam family "Bacterial small subunit ribosomal RNA", at positions 524 to 776 of the family's 1533-position model. The record is from RNAcentral.
UACGUAGGAGGCAAGCGUUGUCCGGAAUCAUUGGGCGUAAAGGGCGCGUAGGCGGCUUCUCAAGCGUGCGGUGAAAGUCAGGGGCUCAACCCCUGAUCGGCCGUGCGAACUGGGGGGCUGGAGCACUGUAGAGGCAGGCGGAAUUCCGGGUGUAGCGGUGGAAUGCGUAGAGAUCCGGAAGAACACCGGUGGCGAAGGCGGCCUGCUGGGCAGUGGCUGACGCUGAGGCGCGACAGCGUGGGGAGCAAACAGG